This 432-nucleotide ribosomal RNA is filed under the name Triticum aestivum (bread wheat). RNAcentral describes it as "partial small subunit ribosomal RNA". Lineage: Eukaryota; Viridiplantae; Streptophyta; Magnoliopsida; Poales; Poaceae. The record is from RNAcentral.
AUGAUCAACUGCUCCGUGAAUGUCAAUGAGUUUCCAUUAUAUUCUUCAUUGAUUAACCUAUCUUUCUCUCCCUCAAGCUACCAUGCCAAAUCUUACAUCCAUGAUCUUUAUAUACGGAUUUGUGAAUCUUGUGACAAGGCCAGAACCUAUAUAUACAUAAAUAUGGAUGUAUAUAUAUAUUUCCUGAAAAAUCACUUGCUAUCCUUUGGGGAGCUGCAGAUGUACGAGACUUUGAAGAAUACAGAAAUGCUGGCAGCUUUAUUGGUGGAGUACAUGCAAAUAUUAUGUGAUACACUUGGUGCCCGCCUUAAAAUAGACGGUGACUUGCUUCAGCCCUCCAAUUUAUUGAACUGGUGGUAUAUCUUAUCUGAUGCAUGCAAUGGUAGUAACAAUGUGCUAUCGUGCAGGGUUUUCUUUUAUGUUGCUAUAUGA